CCUACGGGUGGCAGCAGUGGGGAAUAUUGGACAAUGGGCGAAAGCCUGAUCCAGCCAUGCCGCGUGUGUGAAGAAGGCCUUCGGGUUGUAAAGCACUUUCAGUGGGGAAGAAAGCCUUGGGGCUAAUACCCUCGAGGAAGGACAUCACCCACAGAAGAAGCACCGGCUAACCCGUGCCAGCAGCCGCGGUAAUACGGAGGGUGCGAGCGUUAAUCGGAAUUACUGGGCGUAAAGCGCGCGUAGGCGGUCUGAUAAGCCGGUUGUGAAAGCCCCGGGCUCAACCUGGGAACGGCAUCCGGAACUGUCAGGCUAGAGUGCAGGAGAGGAAGGUAGAAUUCCCGGUGUAGCGGUGAAAUGCGUAGAGAUCGGGAGGAAUACCAGUGGCGAAGGCGGCCUUCUGGACUGACACUGACGCUGAGGUGCGAAAGCGUGGGUAGCAAACAGGAUUAGAUACCCCGGUAGUC
RNAcentral lists this ribosomal RNA (464 nucleotides) under Vreelandella stevensii. RNAcentral's name for it is "partial 16S ribosomal RNA". It matches the Rfam family "Bacterial small subunit ribosomal RNA", at positions 338 to 795 of the family's 1533-position model. The record is from RNAcentral. Lineage: Bacteria; Pseudomonadati; Pseudomonadota; Gammaproteobacteria; Oceanospirillales; Halomonadaceae.